GACGAACGCUGGCGGCGUGGAUUAGGCAUGCAAGUCGAACGGUAUCAUCCUUUCGGGGGUGAGAGAGUGGCGAACUGGUGAGUAACACGUAGGUUAUCUACCCUCAAGACGGGGACAACCCAGGGAAACUUGGGCUAAUACCGGAUGUGAGCAACUUUUAGUUGUUUGAAAGGUGGCGUAAGCUGUCGCUUGGGGAUGAGCCUGCGUCCUAUUAGUUAGUUGGUGAGGUAACGGCUCACCUAGGCAAUGAUAGGUAGGCGGCCUUAACGGGUGGUCGCCCACACUGGGAUUGAGAUACGGCCCAGACUCCUACGGGAGGCAGCAGUGGGGAAUAUUGGGCAAUGGGCGAAAGCCUGACCCAGCGACGCCGCGUGGGUGAUGAAGGCCUUCGGGUUGUAAGCACUUUCGGGUAGGAAGAGGAAGGACUGUACUCCCAGAAUAAGCCUCGGCUAACUACGUG
This 460-nucleotide ribosomal RNA is filed under the name uncultured bacterium. RNAcentral describes it as "bacterial SSU rRNA". It matches the Rfam family "Bacterial small subunit ribosomal RNA", at positions 28 to 507 of the family's 1533-position model. The record is from RNAcentral.